GAGCGAAUCUUGNAGGAGCUUGCUCCUUAAGGUUAGCGGCGGACCGGUGAGUACACGUGGGCAACCUGCCUGUAAGACUGGGAUAACACCGGGAAACCGGUGCUAAUNACCGGAUAAUUCUUUUCCUCACAUGAGGGGAAGUUGAAAGACGGCUUCGGCUGUCACUUACAGAUGGGCCCGCGGCGCAUUAGCUAGUUGGUGAGGUAACGGCUCACCAAGGCGACGAUGCGUAGCCGACCUGAGAGGGUGAUCGGCCACACUGGGACUGAGACACGGCCCAGACUCCUACGGGAGGCAGCAGUAGGGAAUCUUCCGCAAUGGACGAAAGUCUGACGGAGCAACGCCGCGUGAGUGAUGAAGGCCUUCGGGUCGUAAAACUCUGUUGUUAGGGAAGAACAAGUGCCGGAGUAACUGCCGGUACCUUGACGGUACCUAACCAGAAAGCCACGGCUAACUACGUGCCAGCAGCCGCGGUAAU
RNAcentral lists this ribosomal RNA (478 nucleotides) under uncultured bacterium. Its description in RNAcentral is "bacterial SSU rRNA". It matches the Rfam family "Bacterial small subunit ribosomal RNA", at positions 64 to 524 of the family's 1533-position model. The record is from RNAcentral.